RNAcentral lists this non-coding RNA (24 nucleotides) under Cricetulus griseus (Chinese hamster). Lineage: Eukaryota; Metazoa; Chordata; Mammalia; Rodentia; Cricetidae. The record is from RNAcentral.
CAAGCUAAACGGAGGAACAUGGAC